Long non-coding RNA from Terrapene triunguis (Three-toed box turtle), 388 nucleotides. RefSeq lists it as uncharacterized. Lineage: Eukaryota; Metazoa; Chordata; Testudines; Emydidae. The record is from RefSeq and is a predicted model, not a curated record. The transcript is spliced from 2 exons.
ACGGGUUGCAUUUGUUUUAUUCUGAAGGGCAAGAUUUUAUGAAGGUUCUCAACUGGUGGCAGAUUCUGGAGUAACUGUAGACACUACCAUGCGUGGAGGAAGACUUGGUGUUUUCUGCUUCUCUCAGGAAAACAUUAUUUGGUCCAACCUGAAAUAUCGCUGCAAUGACACCAUCCCAGAGGACUUUCAGGAAUUUCAAGCUCAGCAGCUUGGAGUUGGAGAUAUUUAACACAGAAAGCAAACUGACGUUGCUAUUUCAAACAGUAAAGCAAUACUUUAAAUCCUUAUAUGAUUUUUUUUUGUAAGAGUGCACACUGCAGCUCCUUGUGGUUGAUAUAACUGUCAGACUUUUAUAUGUAAAUAUGAAAAUAAAAAGGAGAUAAAAUAG